This 133-nucleotide transfer RNA is filed under the name Mycobacterium avium subsp. hominissuis. Its description in RNAcentral is "tRNA-OTHER". The record is from RNAcentral. Lineage: Bacteria; Bacillati; Actinomycetota; Actinomycetes; Mycobacteriales; Mycobacteriaceae.
GGGGCUUUGGUGAACGUUUCACCACACAACUGGGUUUUACCAGGUCGCGACAAGUCACGGACCACCAUUCACCACCGCAUUUCCGCAGGUCAACCCAUCUUUAUUCCGGGUUCGAUUCCCGGCAGCUCCACCA